Molecule: long non-coding RNA, 211 nt
Filed under: Lathyrus oleraceus (garden pea)
Lineage: Eukaryota; Viridiplantae; Streptophyta; Magnoliopsida; Fabales; Fabaceae
Description: Pisum sativum (pea) long non-coding RNA (PSAT_LNC016931)
Source: RNAcentral
GGAAUUCCCCCUGAGUUAUAUCCUCAUAGGGAUGAGUCUUGUUUCAUCGUGCCUCUCUAGUUUGUUCCUAAAUUGGCUUCUCGUGAUUUUUCCCUGCGCUUCCCCGUAGUUUAGAUGAAUGAUUUCUCAGUAACCAGUAAUUGUCCAUCUUUUCCCCGACGGAGUCUGUGACCUUUUACCCUCGUAUCGGUAGUUAUAAGUCCUAUUUCUG